AUGCAGCCAUAUCGGCUAAAUGCGUUCGGUUUGCGCCCGCGCAUCAAACUACAAAGCAAGUCCUACGGGCCUUUUCGCGUCAUAGCUAAGGUCGGGCAUGUGGCCUACAAAUUGCUUCUGCCUAACAUCACCAACAUCCAUCCUGUCUUCCAUGUUAGCCAGCUGAAAAAACAUGUGGGGCCGAAGGCAGUACCUUGUGCUGAUUUGCCGCUGGUGCGCGCAGAUGACAUGAUACAGACCGAACCAAUGAUGGUCUUGGAAACACGUCAGGUAACGCGCAACAACUUGCCGGUGGUUCAAUGGCUUGUUUAGUGGGAAAACUUUCCACCUGACGAAGCUUCUUGGGAAGACGUGACAUUCAUGAAGAAAACCUUCCCUGCAUUCUUCAAGGCGACCAUCGACCGUUGGUUCAACCGCUCAUCUCCUUGA
This 429-nucleotide ribosomal RNA is filed under the name Triticum aestivum (bread wheat). RNAcentral describes it as "partial small subunit ribosomal RNA". The record is from RNAcentral. Lineage: Eukaryota; Viridiplantae; Streptophyta; Magnoliopsida; Poales; Poaceae.